ACAGUGCCUACGUCAUUCCCCUCACUUGGUCACGUAGGCAUUCUAUCAUCUCACAGCGUCAUAAGGAAGCCUUGCGAGACCCUGAACGGAGAAACUAGCAGAGAUCACCAGGACUUCUCAGCUCCAGGACUAAAGAUUAUUUGGAAAUUGAACAGAGAAUGAAGGAGUGGCCAGCAUGGUGGCAGACCUCACAAAUAGGAGACCAGUUAGUUUGGAGGCUAUAUUUCCUGAAAUCUUUGGACUUUGAAAGCAUCGUCAUUACUGUUGCUGGAAGGCAAUGCUAGUCUUGACAGAGGACAAUGUGAAGAAAUCA
Long non-coding RNA from Prionailurus viverrinus (fishing cat), 313 nucleotides. RefSeq lists it as uncharacterized. The record is from RefSeq and is a predicted model, not a curated record. The transcript is spliced from 4 exons. Lineage: Eukaryota; Metazoa; Chordata; Mammalia; Carnivora; Felidae.